CCCUUAGAUGUCCUGGGCCGCACGCGCGCUACACUGACAUGUUCAGCAAGCCUCCUAGUUCGACAGGAUUUGGGAAAUCUUUGAACGCAUGUCGUGAUAGGGAUAGAUCAUUGCAAUUAUUGAUCUUGAACGAGGAAUUCCUAGUAAACGCGAGUCAUCAGCUCGCAUUGAUUACGUCCCUGCCCUUUGUACACACCGCCCGUCGCACCUACCGAUUGAAUGUUUCGGUGAAGAUUCCGGAUAGGACUUUUUUGAUUUAUUUCAAUUUUGUCUUAAAAGCUAUCUAAACCUCAACAUUUAGAGGAAGGUGAAGUCGUAACA
RNAcentral lists this ribosomal RNA (321 nucleotides) under uncultured eukaryote. RNAcentral describes it as "partial 18S ribosomal RNA". It matches the Rfam family "Eukaryotic small subunit ribosomal RNA", at positions 1470 to 1796 of the family's 1831-position model. The record is from RNAcentral.